GACGAACGCUGGCGGCGUGCUUAACACAUGCAAGUCGAACGGAAAGGCCCUUCUUUUGUUGGUUGCUCGAGUGGCGGACGGGUGAGUCACACGUGAGUAACCUUCCCUUUCCUGUUGGCUAACUUCAGGUAACUGGGGCUAAUACCGGAUAUGAUUUCCUGCUGCAUGGUGUGGGUUGGCAAGUUUCGGCGGUUGGGGAUGGACUCGCGGCUUAUCAGCUUGUUGGGGGGGUGGUGGCUAACAAAGGCUUUGACGGGUAGCCUGCCUGGGCGGGUGACCGGCCACAUUGGGCCUGGGAUCCGGCCAAGACUCCUACGGGAGGCAGCAGUGGGGAAUAUUGCACAAUGGGCGGAAGCCGGAUGCAGCAACGCCGCGUGCGGGAUGACGGCCUUCGGGUGUUAACCCGCUUUAGCAUGUGACGAAGCGUGAGUGACGGUAAUGGGUAAAGAAGCACCGGCUAACUACGUG
This 468-nucleotide ribosomal RNA is filed under the name uncultured bacterium. RNAcentral describes it as "partial 16S ribosomal RNA". It matches the Rfam family "Bacterial small subunit ribosomal RNA", at positions 28 to 507 of the family's 1533-position model. The record is from RNAcentral.